GCCGAAGUGGUGGAAUUGGUAGACACGCCAUCUUGAGGGGGUGGUGGAUAAUUUCCGUGCCGGUUCGAUUCCGGCCUUCGGCACCA
This 86-nucleotide transfer RNA is filed under the name bacterium. Its description in RNAcentral is "tRNA-Leu". It matches the Rfam family "tRNA". Rfam says of the family: Transfer RNA (tRNA) molecules are approximately 80 nucleotides in length. RNAcentral also lists the same sequence under 1 other name. The record is from RNAcentral.